This 2232-nucleotide long non-coding RNA is filed under the name Homo sapiens (human). Its description in RNAcentral is "ZEB1 antisense RNA 1 (ZEB1-AS1)". Lineage: Eukaryota; Metazoa; Chordata; Mammalia; Primates; Hominidae. The record is from RNAcentral.
CUUACACCUAGAGGCUCUCGCUCUACGGCCGGAACCUUGUUGCUAGGGACCGGGCGGUUUGCGGCAACCGUGGGCACUGCUGAAUUUGAAUUGAGGGGCGAGGGAAAAGUUUUCCUCAGGUGUGGUGGGGAGAGGGAGGCGGAUGCCGGGAAACCGUAGGGACGCGGUCAGAAAGGCGACGGGCUGUCGGAGUUGGAAAGGGACGCCUGGUUUCCCCCCAAGCGAACCGGGAUGGGAAGUGACUUCAAUGAGAUUGAACUUCAGCUGGAUUGAAAGAGAGGCUAGAAGUUCCGCUUGCCAGCAGCCUCCUUAGUAGAGCGGAAUGAGUAAUACCCACACGGUGCUUGUCUCACUUCCCCAUCCGCACCCGGCCCUCACCUGCUGUCACCUCGGCCUCCCACACCCGGUCCGCGCUCCCCGCCCUCUUCCUCGCGUAGAACCGUGGGAUCCUAGGUGGCAGGACUCAGAGCUAAGGUAUCCACAGGCCAUGAAUUCCUUCCUAAAUGAGCGGUCAUCGCCGUGCAGGACCUUAAGGCAAGAAGCAUCGGCUGACAGAUGUGAUCUCUGAACCUGAUAGAUUGCUGAUUUUAUCUUAUUUUAUCCUUGACUUGGUACAAGUUUUGGGAUUUCUGAAAAGACCAUACAGAUAACCACAAAUAUCAAGAAAGUCGUCUUCAGUAUUAAGUAGAAUUUAGAUUUAGGUUUCCUUCCUGCUUCCCACCUCCUUCGAAUAAGGAAACGUCUUUGGGACCAACUUUAUGGAAUAAAUAAGCUGAGCUGUAUUUCAAGUAAUAUAGUUAUAAAUUAACAAUGUAGCAGUUAUUGAUAGAGAAAUUGAGAAAACUGAAACGUGACCGGAGUAUUGGAAAUAACGUAGUACAUCACCUAGCACAAUGACACAUAGUAGGUGCUCAAUAAAUUUAUGCUUAUAAUUUUUGUCACUUCUAUGGCAGGAUUUUUUUAUUAGGUUAAAAUUAUCUUUUAAACACCUUCCGGAAUUUUAGAAUAUUCAUUAAUAAUGUCUUCAAACCUUUCAACUGAAAUAAAUUUACAGCUGAAGUCUGAUGAUUUAAAGUUAGAAAGUUUAAUCUUGAAUAUAAAUGAACAUUUUCUCUCCCACAUUUUCUUGGGCAUUUUGAGAAGUAAAUGCGUUAUUUAUUGGUCCAUGAAAUGUGACUGUAAAUAUUCUUUGCUAUACAUUAUGUCUAUAUAUCUGCAUUCAUCCUCAAUGCCAAAACUAGAAUCAUUAGUCUUAAUGAUCAUUUUAAGUACAGGCAGUCCUCGCUUUCCUUGAUACCAUGUUAACCGAAACUUGUGUAUGUCAACACGGUGUCCUUGCUUUGCUUGGUUAAGUGUGAGUUCUUCCUCCCUUUUUUUAAGAGUUGUACAAUGUUUUUCAGUCGCCUACCGAAUCAGGUCAUAGACUAUGGAAUUGACCCCACCCCACCAACAUUUUUACAGCUACCCUGAUUUCUGACCAGAAAGGAAAAAAAAACUUUCCAGCUCUAUCACACAUUUUACCUACUCUUAAACUUAGGAGGUAUUACAAAUAGCAUUUUCUCAUGUUCUCUUUCUGGCCUGUACCUCCCUGCUAAGCUUCCUUCAGUGUUCAUCCUCACCUCAUAGAGAGAUGAAGUGAAGAGACAAACAGAAGUCAUUUUCUUCCUUACUUUAGUGGUUUCUGGUUUAGUUAGUUUGGGCCAAACUGUGGACAAGUACCUUUUCAGGUAACUUUUUUUUCUUAUUUCUAUGUCCUCAACACCUAGUGGAGUACGUAGCCAAUAGUAGAUGCUUAAUAAACAUUUCUUAAAUUAAUAUUGUUGACCUUUUCUGACCCUGUUCUUGACAGUAAGGUACAUAAUCUGCCUUCAUCCCUUUAGUCCUUAGGAACAGAUAAAGUCAUGGAUAUGAAAGUGAUCACUGUCAUUAAUAUCCACAUUAAAAUUGCUCUUGAUUUUAGUUUCUCCAUAAUCAUUUUCCCUAAACAAUGAACUCUGUUCACCUUUUUUUUUAAAAUAUGCACAGUGAAUAUUACUGGUAGCCCAAAUCUUCUAACAUAAAAUUUCCAUUUUGUAAAAGCUUCUGAUAAGCAUAUAUGUUAUGAAUUGAAUGUUUGAUUAUUAUACUUUAAUAUUCUUGAAAAUAUUGAUACCUGGACUGGAAAGAAAACAGACAAAAGUAAAUCUCAGAAUAAAUUACUGCUUUAAACAUGAAAAAAAAAAAAAAAAAAAA